UACGUAGGUGGCAAGCGUUGUCCGGAAUUAUUGGGCGUAAAGCGCUCGCAGGCGGUUUCUUAAGUCUGAUGUGAAAGCCCACGGCUCAAUCGUGGAGGGUCAUUGGAAACUGGGAGACUUGAGUACAGAAGAGGAGAGUGGAAUUCCAGGUGUAGCGGUGAGAUGCGUAGAUAUGUGGAGGAACACCAGUGGCGAAGGCGACUCUCUUGUUUGUAACUGACACUGAGGCGCGAAAGCGUGGGGAGCGAACAGG
RNAcentral lists this unclassified non-coding RNA (253 nucleotides) under uncultured Caryophanales bacterium. RNAcentral describes it as "uncultured Bacillales bacterium contains 16S-23S intergenic spacer region". It matches the Rfam family "Bacterial small subunit ribosomal RNA", at positions 524 to 776 of the family's 1533-position model. The record is from RNAcentral. Lineage: Bacteria; Bacillati; Bacillota; Bacilli; Caryophanales.